AGAAGAGAGGAAGAGGAAGGAGGCCUUACCACAGCCUCCGAUGACCCCCACCGGCGUGAAAUCGCGGCGAGCACAGGUCGAGGGGCCGCGGCUUCAAUCGAAAAAAUCAAAGAAAAACUCCGAUGAUCAUCGGUGACUGAUGGAUCUACUCUUAGAGGAGAGGAGGGGGGUUCUUAUAGAGCUCGUCCUAGGGUCUUUUAAUGGCCCUA
This 209-nucleotide long non-coding RNA is filed under the name Elaeis guineensis (African oil palm). RNAcentral's name for it is "long non-coding RNA (EGUI_LNC020749)". The record is from RNAcentral. Lineage: Eukaryota; Viridiplantae; Streptophyta; Magnoliopsida; Arecales; Arecaceae.